Long non-coding RNA from Nematostella vectensis (starlet sea anemone), 965 nucleotides. RefSeq lists it as uncharacterized. The transcript is spliced from 2 exons. The record is from RefSeq and is a predicted model, not a curated record. Lineage: Eukaryota; Metazoa; Cnidaria; Anthozoa; Actiniaria; Edwardsiidae.
GACAAUCUCCAAGCGCCCGGCGGUAACAACAUAUUACCUUUCAGUAAUUAGUUUGCGACCUUGUUUUACCAUCUCUUGCUUUUCUCAUGCGCAUUAAAUAGUCAUAAAAAAAGCGCAUUUCUUAGCAUUUGUUUUUCUAACAACCUUUUAAAUACUCAGUCUUUUAUCAGUUUUUUUCUUUCAGAACUAUUUCUUCAUUCGUGUCUAUAUGACCAUGGAAUAGCAGUUGUGUCUAUAUGAACAUGGAAUAGUGGUAAUUCAGUCUUUUCUGACAUCUUCAAGCUUUCAGUUUACAAAACAGAAUGCUUUUUCAUUUCCUAUAUUUUUAUUUACGAAAGGGAUUUCGAUGAAAGGACCUUAUGAUUAACAUUUUUAAUAACAAUCAAUUUGUCUCGAAGCGUUAAAAGAGUUAAGUUUGCCUUUUCUAUUAAGUGGAUAUCAUUAGAAUAAACAUUUUUUCGCCGCUUAUCCUAUAUCUAGGCUAGCUUAUCUUCGGUCAGCACACUGUCCCUGGACUGUUCUAGAACAACUACGAGGCAAGCGUUCUACUGUGAAGAGGCGAAGAAUCGUACAAACAAACGAUGAAGUCGUACAUCGCCGUUCUUCUGAUUUUGGGCCUCGUCAUUUGCGCACACGGCAGCAACCUCAGAAAGCGCCUGCGCUUACAAAGAGAAGCCGCUGUUCAGGGGGGAAAGGCUCAUCUCCAGGAACACGAGGAAGAUCCGUGUUUCUACAACACUUACAAUAACAUGUGCAUGGACGAGGCUGGCGAGGGUAAAAACGCGGGGAGACCUAGGCAAGCAUGACGGACAAACAGUCUUCAAUAUACCUAAGCACAAGUAGUCUUGGAUAAGGUUGUCGAAGCUCCAAAGCUUAUAAACAAUAUUGUAGAUGUUUUUCAAUAGUUGUAUGUAAUAGUUGUUGGAUAAAUGAAAUCUGAUCGACAUUAAAGUAUAAAUAAGUGA